This 301-nucleotide ribosomal RNA is filed under the name uncultured bacterium. RNAcentral's name for it is "partial 16S ribosomal RNA". It matches the Rfam family "Bacterial small subunit ribosomal RNA", at positions 509 to 809 of the family's 1533-position model. The record is from RNAcentral.
CAGUAGCCACGGUAAUACGUAGGGUGCAAGCGUUAAUCGGAAUUACUGGGCGUAAAGCGUGCGCAGGCGGUUUGUUAAGACAGAUGUGAAAUCCCCGGGCUCAACCUGGGAACUGCAUUUGUGACUGGCAGGCUAGAGUAUGGCAGAGGGGGGAGGAAUUCCGCGUGUAGCAGUGAAAUGCGUAGAUAUGCGGAGGAACACCGGUGGCGAAGGCAAUCACCUGGACCUGUACUGACGCUCAUGCACGAAAGCGUGGGGAGCAAACAGGAUUAGAUACCCCCGUAGUCCCUGUCUCUUAUAA